AUUGAACGCUGGCGGCAGGCUUAACACAUGCAAGUCGAGCGGGGGAAGGUAGCUUGCUACCGGACCUAGCGGCGGACGGGUGAGUAAUGCUUAGGAAUCUGCCUAUUAGUGGGGGACAACAUCUCGAAAGGGAUGCUAAUACCGCAUACGUCCUACGGGAGAAAGCAGGGGAUCUUCGGACCUUGCGCUAAUAGAUGAGCCUAAGUCGGAUUAGCUAGUUGGUGGGGUAAAGGCCUACCAAGGCGACGAUCUGUAGCGGGUCUGAGAGGAUGAUCCGCCACAAUGGGACUGAGAAACGGCCCAGACUCCUACGGGAGGCAGCAGUGGGGGAUAUUGGACAAUGGGGGGAACCCUGAUCCAGCCAUGCCGCGUGUGUGAAGAAGGCCUUAUGGUUGUAAAGCACUUUAAGCGAGGAGGAGGCUACUCUAGUUAAUACCUAGGGAUAGUGGACGUUACUCGCAGAAUAAGCACCGGCUAACUCUGUGCCAGCCGCCGCCGUAA
Molecule: ribosomal RNA, 501 nt
Filed under: uncultured bacterium
Lineage: Bacteria
Description: partial 16S ribosomal RNA
Rfam family: Bacterial small subunit ribosomal RNA
Source: RNAcentral